AGAAGUGACGUGCAUUCACUUCCUCCCAGCGUGUGAUGUAAUCACAGGGGACCCGGUCUGGCUGUUAAAGCGCCCAGCGCUAAACGGGCCCCCUGAAAUCAAUCUCAAUCGGGUGGCCCUAACAGCAUGGGCCAGCCGAUGAACCCCUUAGGCGGCGGCCCCGGUGGUUUGCCACACAGGCCAGGGCCGCAGAAGAUGGAGGCGACCCCUGCGACCGCAGUAUGUAC
Molecule: non-coding RNA, 227 nt
Organism: Pelobates cultripes (western spadefoot toad)
Lineage: Eukaryota; Metazoa; Chordata; Amphibia; Anura; Pelobatidae
Source: the annotation of a GenBank genome assembly